Molecule: long non-coding RNA, 533 nt
Filed under: Vulpes vulpes (red fox)
Lineage: Eukaryota; Metazoa; Chordata; Mammalia; Carnivora; Canidae
Description: lncRNA (ENSVVUG00000017241.1)
Source: RNAcentral
UAGUUGAAUUCAGAUGGAUUAAUUUGCCAAAAUUUAUUGAGCACCUUUGAUUUUUCAGACCCUGUACUUUUGCACCUGGAAGUGCAGGUAGAAAUGAUAAAGAUUUGGUUUUGGUUCAACCUCUGAGAGUUCAAGCCCAGGAUGACUAACUUCAGUCCAAGCCAAUGUAUUUCAUUUGGAAAUCAGAGGAAGUUUUCCUUGACAACCAUAAAAAUAGAUAAGAGUUUUUAAUCUUAAGCAUAAACUUCUUCAAAAAAGCACAAUAAGAGAGCUCUGUGCUGGAGAUGCUGAAAUCAAGAGGAUGACAUUUUCUAUCAAAACCCUUAAAAAUCUAGACAUGUUCAACAACCAUUUGUGGUAAACUUUUAUUAUUUGCUUAUUCAUUAAGGUCUUAACUUGUGCAGUAGAUAUGUUUCUAAAAUAGAAAUUAAAAAAAAAAACACAAUUUAACAGGAAGAGAGUAGACUAGCUGAGAAUCUCUGUUUAUUAGGAAACUUUGCUUGACUUUUGACUGUAAAAUGUUUUAAAUGGAA